Molecule: ribosomal RNA, 465 nt
Filed under: uncultured bacterium
Lineage: Bacteria
Description: partial 16S ribosomal RNA
Rfam family: Bacterial small subunit ribosomal RNA
Source: RNAcentral
GACGAACGCUGGCGGCGUGCUUAACACAUGCAAGUCGAACGGAAAGGCCCCUUUUGGGGUACUCGAGUGGCGAACGGGUGAGUAACACGUGAGUAACCUUCCCUUGACUUCGGGGUAACUUCAGGAAACUGGGGCUAAUACCGGAUAGGAAUCCUUGCUGCAUGGUGGGGGUUGGAAAGCUUCGGCGGUUUUGGAUGGACUCGCGGCUUAUCAGCUUGUUGGUGGGGUAGUGGCUUACCAAGGCUUUGACGGGUAACCGGCCUGAGAGGGCGAGCGGCCAUCUUGGGACUGAGAGACGGCCCAGACUCCUACGGGAGGCAGAAGUGGGGAAUAUUGCACAAUGGGCGGAAGCCUGAUGAAGCAACGCCGCGGGCGGGAUGACGGCCUUCGGGUUGUAAACCGCUUUCAGCAGGGGCGAAGCUUGUGGUGACGUUACCUGCAGAAGAAGCACCGGCUAACUACGUG